Cercocebus atys (sooty mangabey) is the source of this 1285-nucleotide long non-coding RNA. RefSeq lists it as uncharacterized. The transcript is spliced from 4 exons. Lineage: Eukaryota; Metazoa; Chordata; Mammalia; Primates; Cercopithecidae. The record is from RefSeq and is a predicted model, not a curated record.
UCCGCCCAUCACACACACACAGUCCAGCCUCCCACCGGACCCCUGACCUCAGUACCCCCUGCAGCGCAAGGAGGAAUAAGUCAGAAGGAAUGGAAUUGCUGGAUCUUACGAAGGCAUUUGCUCAGCUUUGGUAGACAUGGCCAAGAGGUUUCCAAAGGGCUGCACUCGCUUACCACUUACCAACAAUAUCUUAGAAUCCAGUGGCUCCAAGACCAAGUAUUGAUUGAGGACCUACUGUGUAGCUGGGAAAGAGCAGGGCGCAGGACACACUGAGCCCCUACCCUCAGGAGUUCCAACAGGAGACAGACUAUACACACCUCAGCAAACACCCGGACAAACUACUGCCUAGUGGAGAUUCCACUCAUGGGCCCAGAACAUUUUAUGCUGAAACUGCCUCAUACCUGUUCACAAGUGAUUUGAGUCCAUCUCCUCCAAACAAACAUUUAAAUCAGCCAAGGCAAAAUGAGAUCAGAAAGACAAAGCCCUCGAACAAAGAGAAGCAACAGUUUUUGUUACAUUUUGUCUUCUGUAUGUCUCCUUCUUGAAGAAUUUAGCUCCAAGUUAUACUCGGGAAGAGAAAAAAAUCAAAAGUUCCAGUAGGCCGCGAGGCCUAUGAUCCACCGUGUUGAAGGAAGAUUUGCUUCACCUCAUCCCGCGGUAAUACUAAGUUGUUCACACGCUGUGAAGAAGACCGGAACACUAGGCUGUCAACUGUUGGGGCCUACCUGCGCCAGACUUCUUCCUCAGUGGCCAGCUUUUUCCCCCACAGUGAGCCACCAGGGGGCCGCCUGCUUGGAACAAGUGGUGUAGACGCCACAGCUUUUCUCCAAACCAACCAAAACAUUCCGGGGCAGCUUUGGAGCAAAGCCCAGGAACUUCCCUGCAAAGGAGAACAGCUCUCCAACUACAGAAGCCUGCAAGUCCUAUGGUGCAGCCUUAUUAAGAGUAGAGAAGAAAGCACGGAUUUCUCACCGAGGACCAAAGGGAAAUGGCGUCUCUGGGGCCUGCAACUUUCUUAAAAGUGCAUCAGCGAAACUCUGCUCAUCCAGGGGGGUGGUUGAUAAUGCUGUUGGCAGGGGUCCGGGGCCUCUCCCCCCUUUCCCUGGCACGCUCAGAAGAAGCGAGAAUAAAACAUACAUGUCAUUGGCUGAAAAUCUAGAGAACCCUCCAAUAAAUAACCUAUACAUUGUCAGGCCGCUGAGGAUCCAUAUCGUCAUAACUCUAUAACACUGCGUGUUACACGAAUAGAUGUGAAUAUUAAAUUAUGAUGUCGGAAUUAUUUUAA